This 1027-nucleotide ribosomal RNA is filed under the name uncultured fungus. RNAcentral describes it as "eukaryotic LSU rRNA". The stretch from base 343 to 1027 matches the Rfam family "Eukaryotic large subunit ribosomal RNA", at positions 1 to 664 of the family's 3401-position model. The record is from RNAcentral. Lineage: Eukaryota; Fungi.
AUCGAUGAAGAACGCAGCGAAACGCGAUAUGUAAUGUGAAUUGCAGAAUUCAGUGAAUCAUCGAAUCUUUGAACGCACCUUGCGCCCUUUGGUAUUCCAAAGGGCAUGCCUGUUUGAGUGUCAUUAAAUUAUCAACCUUUUCUUUUGUAAUGAUUGAUCAGGCUUGGAUGUGGGGGCUGCGGGUCUCUCAGAGAUCGGCUCCCCUUAAAUGCAUUAGUGGAACCCUUUGUGGAUCAUUAUUGGCGUGAUAAUUAUCUAUCCCAGUGAUCGUGAAGCAAGCCUAACAAGCACCAGGGUUUGGCUUAUAACCGUCCCUCUCUGGGACAAAUCUUCAUUUUAAUGUGACCUCAAAUCAGGUAGGACUACCCGCUGAACUUAAGCAUAUCAAUAAGCGGAGGAAAAGAAACUAACAAGGAUUCCCCUAGUAACUGCGAGUGAACCGGGAAAAGCUCAAAUUUGUAAUCUGGCGGUCCUUGUGGCCGUCCGAGUUGUAAUCUAGAGAAGUGCUAUCCGCGCUGGACCGUGUACAAGUCUUCUGGAAUGAAGCAUCAUAGAGGGUGAGAAUCCCGUCUUUGACACGGACUGCCAGGGCUAUGUGAUGCACUUUCGAUGAGUCGAGUUGUUUGGGAAUGCAGCUCUAAAUGGGUGGUAAAUUCCAUCUAAAGCUAAAUAUAGGCGAGAGACCGAUAGCGAACAAGUACCGUGAGGGAAAGAUGAAAAGAACUUUGGAAAGAGAGUUAAACAGUACGUGAAAUUGUUGAAAGGGAAACGCUUGAAGUCAGUCGCGUUGGCCGGGGAUCAACCUUGCAUUCAUUUGUGGGGCGUACUUUCUGGUUGACGGGUCAGCAUCAAUUUUGACCGUUGGAAAAAGGUUGGGGGAAUGUGGCAUCUUCGGAUGUGUUAUAGACUCUGACUGCAUACAACGGUUGGGAUUGAGGAACUCAGCACGCCGCAAGGCCGGGGGAAACCCACGUACGUGCUUAGGAUGCUGGCAUAAUGGCUUUAAUCGACCCGUCUUGAAACACGG